CAGGGCAGCCCAAAAUGAUGGAGGCCGGGUGAGCAAGCGGCUGAGGUGCUGCAGGGAGCCUCGGAGGGGCGAAGCGGCGUGUCAAUGAGCGGUCCCAGAAGGAGCCGUGUGGCCACUGUUGGAACUGGAUACGCAUUUGAGGCGCCACAGGCGAUGACAGCCACGGUGUCUGUCUCUGGAAGGAGCAGCUGAUGAAGAGGAACCAAGUGACUGCAGGGCCGUCCUGGUUUGCCAAUGCGCGGCACGCAGGUUUUCU
Grus americana (Whooping crane) is the source of this 256-nucleotide long non-coding RNA. RefSeq lists it as uncharacterized. Lineage: Eukaryota; Metazoa; Chordata; Aves; Gruiformes; Gruidae. The transcript has 5 exons. The record is from RefSeq and is a predicted model, not a curated record.